This 305-nucleotide ribosomal RNA is filed under the name uncultured bacterium. RNAcentral describes it as "bacterial SSU rRNA". It matches the Rfam family "Bacterial small subunit ribosomal RNA", at positions 332 to 656 of the family's 1533-position model. The record is from RNAcentral.
CUUACCUACGGGGCGCAGCAGUGGGGGAUAUUGCACAAUGGGGGAAACCCUGAUGCAGCGACGCCGCGUGUGGGAAGACGGCCCUCUGGAUUGUAAACCACUGUCCCCAGGGACGAAGAUGACGGUACCUGGGGAGGAAGCUCCGGCUAACUCCGUGCCAGCAGCCGCGGUAAUACGUAGGUGGCAAGCGUUGUCCGGAAUUACUGGGUGUAAAGGGAGCGCAGGCGGGAAGCCAAGUCAGCUGUGAAAACUACGGGCUUAACUGGUAGUCGCACUCAAAACUGCAGCUCUUGAGUGAAGUAGAG